GCCGAAAUAGCUCAGUUGGCAGAGCAACGCACUCGUAACGCGUAGGUCGCAGGUUCGACCCCUGUUUUCGGCA
Transfer RNA from Granulicatella adiacens ATCC 49175, 73 nucleotides. It matches the Rfam family "tRNA". From Rfam's summary of the family: Transfer RNA (tRNA) molecules are approximately 80 nucleotides in length. Their secondary structure includes four short double-helical elements and three loops (D, anti-codon, and T loops). Further hydrogen bonds mediate the characteristic L-shaped molecular structure. tRNAs have two regions of fundamental functional importance: the anti-codon, which is responsible for specific mRNA codon recognition, and the 3' end, to which the tRNAs corresponding amino acid is attached (by aminoacyl-tRNA synthetases). tRNAs cope with the degeneracy of the genetic code in two manners: having more than one tRNA (with a specific anti-codon) for a particular amino acid; and 'wobble' base-pairing, i.e. permitting non-standard base-pairing at the 3rd anti-codon position. NCBI's taxonomy places the organism in Bacteria, Bacillati, Bacillota, Bacilli, Lactobacillales, Carnobacteriaceae. The record is from Rfam.